This 473-nucleotide ribosomal RNA is filed under the name uncultured Methanolinea sp. RNAcentral's name for it is "bacterial SSU rRNA". It matches the Rfam family "Archaeal small subunit ribosomal RNA", at positions 871 to 1337 of the family's 1478-position model. The record is from RNAcentral. Lineage: Archaea; Methanobacteriati; Methanobacteriota; Methanomicrobia; Methanomicrobiales; Methanoregulaceae.
UUGACGGGGAGCACCACAACAGGUGGAGCCUGCGGUUUAAUCGGACUCAACGCCGGGAAACUCACCAGAUAAGACAGCUGAAUGAUAGUCGGGCUGAAGACUCUACUUGACUAGCUGAGAGGAGGUGCAUGGCCGUCGUCAGUUCGUACUGUGAAGCAUCCUGUUAAGUCAGGCAACGAGCGAGACCCACGCCAACAGUUGCCAGCUCGUCCUCCGGGAUGGUGGGGACACUGUUGGGACCGCCUCUGCUAAAGAGGAGGAAGGAAUGGGCAACGGUAGGUCAGCAUGCCCCGAAUUAUCCGGGCUACACGCGGGCUACAAUGGUCAGGACAAUGGGUAUCGACACCGAGAGGUGGAGGCAAUCUCCUAAACCUGUCCUUAGUUCGGAUUGUGGGCUGCAACUCGCCCACAUGAAGCUGGAAUCCGUAGUAAUCGCGUUUCAAAAUAGCGCGGUGAAUAUGUCCCUGCUCCUU